RNAcentral lists this ribosomal RNA (253 nucleotides) under uncultured bacterium. RNAcentral describes it as "partial 16S ribosomal RNA". It matches the Rfam family "Bacterial small subunit ribosomal RNA", at positions 524 to 776 of the family's 1533-position model. The record is from RNAcentral.
UACAGGGGGGGCAAGCGUUGUUCGGAAUUACUGGGCGUAAAGGGUUCGUAGGUGGCUUACUAAGUCAAACGUGAAAUCCCUCAGCUUAACUGGGGAACUGCGUCUGAUACUGGAAAGCUUGAGUGCAGGAGAGGAACGCGGAAUUCCAGGUGUAGCGGUGAAAUGCGUAGAUAUCUGGAGGAACACCGGUGGCGAAGGCGGCUCACUGGACCGGCAUUGACGCUGAGGUGCGAAAGCGUGGGGAGCAAACAGG